Oryza rufipogon (brownbeard rice) is the source of this 205-nucleotide microRNA precursor. It matches the Rfam family "MIR812 microRNA precursor family". The record is from Rfam. NCBI's taxonomy places the organism in Eukaryota, Viridiplantae, Streptophyta, Magnoliopsida, Poales, Poaceae.
AAAAAGGCAAAUCCUGGAUUUUCGUGUCCAACUUUAACUAUCCGUCUUAUACGAUUUUUUUUAUAAUUCAUAUUUUCAUUGUUGUUAGAUGAUAAAACAUGAUUAAUAUUUUAUACGUGACUUGUCUUUUUAAACUUUUUUUAUAAUUUUUUUAAAUAAGACGGACGGUUAAACUUUGGACACGGAAACCAGGGUUUAUCUUUUU